UCUAGUUUGGCAGAGUAAAGUUGAGUGCGAUAGAUUUAGGUUCUAUUCAGGUGUUAUAAUCACAGCUAGUA
RNAcentral lists this transfer RNA (71 nucleotides) under Peloridora minuta. Its description in RNAcentral is "tRNA-Leu". Lineage: Eukaryota; Metazoa; Arthropoda; Insecta; Hemiptera; Peloridiidae. The record is from RNAcentral.